Molecule: ribosomal RNA, 389 nt
Filed under: uncultured bacterium
Lineage: Bacteria
Description: bacterial SSU rRNA
Rfam family: Bacterial small subunit ribosomal RNA
Source: RNAcentral
UGAAAGGCACUGAACAGAGGAAUGGGAGAUGUAGCCUUCGGGAAACCGAGAGACACGGUGGGGCACAGGCUGUCGUCAGCUCGCGGUUGCUGAGAAUAGUUGGGUUAAGUCCCGCAACGAGCGGCAACCCCUAUGCCGUAUAGUGAGCCAGCAGCGAUUCCGAGCCGGGCACUCAAAGGAGACUGCCAGGGAUAACCUGGAGGAAGGCGGGGAUGACGUCAAAUCAUCAUGCCCCUUACGACCAGGGCUACACACGUGCUACAAUGGCGUAAACAAAGGGAAGCGACCCCGUGAGGGCAAGCAAAUCUCAAAAAUAACGUCUCAGUUCGGAUUGUAGUCUGCAACUCGACUACAUGAAGCUGGAAUCGCUAGUAAUCGCAAUCAGAAUG